Molecule: ribosomal RNA, 897 nt
Filed under: uncultured bacterium
Lineage: Bacteria
Description: bacterial SSU rRNA
Rfam family: Bacterial small subunit ribosomal RNA
Source: RNAcentral
GUUUGAUCCUGGCUCAGGAUGAACGCUGGCGGCGUGCCUAAUACAUGCAAGUCGAACGAGGCCCUUUGUAUUCGUAUGAAGGUGUCCUAGUGGCGAACGGGUGAGUAACACGUAGGUAACCUACCCCGAAGAGGGGGAUAACCUCGGGAAACUGAGGCUUAUACCCCAUGUGCUCCACGGUAUUAGAUGACCAUGGAGUAAAGGAGUAAUCCGCUUUGGGAGGGGCCUGCGGCCCAUCAGCUAGUUGGUAGGUUAAUGGCCUACCAAGGCUAUGACGGUUAGGGGGCCUGAGAGGUUGGUCCCCCACACUGACACUGAAACACGGGUCAGACACCUACGGGUGGCAGCAGUAGGGAAUAUUGCACAAUGGGCGAAAGCCUGAUGCAGCAACGCCGCGUGCGCGAUGAAGGCCUUCGGGUUGUAAAACGCUUUUCUGGGGGAAGAGAAAGGACGGUACCCCAGGAAUAAGUCUCGGCUAACUACGUGCCAGCAGCCGCGGUAAAACGUAGGAGGCAAGCGUUAUCCGGAUUUACUGGGCGUAAAGCGUGUGUAGGCGGUAUGGUAAGUCGGACGUGAAAGCUCCUGGCUCAACUGGGAGAGGCCGUUCGAAACUUCCAAACUUGAGGGCAGUAGAGGGAGGUGGAAUUCCGGGUGUAGCGGUGAAAUGCGUAGAUAUCCGGAGGAACACCAGUGGCGAAGGCGGCCUCCUGGACUGUCCCUGACGCUCAGACACGAAAGCUAGGGGAGCAAACGGGAUUAGACACCCCGGUAGUCCUAGCUGUAAACGAUGCAGACUUGGUGUUGGGAGUGUAAAAACUUUCAGUGCCGGAGCUAACGCGUUAAGUCUGCCGCCUGGGGACUACGACCGCAAGGUUAAAACUCAAAGGAAUUGACGGG